AUGAGCCAGUUCAGAAGUAGUCUAGAGGUGAAUGCAGUGCUAAAAUCCCGACGGUGGUGCAUCAUAUUCAAAAACAUAAGUCUCAAAAACCAUUCACUUCCAAAAGCCAUACAUACACCUAAAACCAAUGCUAGUUCAUACAUAACAGGUUACAUAUACUGCACAAUGCAUCAGCUGGAAAAACAAACAUUGCAAAGCAUACAAACAAAUACAUGUCUUGCAUAUCCACUCAUCUGGACAUUACCACAAACACUUGGCAUGAAUAACUUAGCACUCAAGGCAACAUCUUAA
Molecule: non-coding RNA, 291 nt
Organism: Vicia faba (fava bean)
Lineage: Eukaryota; Viridiplantae; Streptophyta; Magnoliopsida; Fabales; Fabaceae
Source: the annotation of a GenBank genome assembly